This 459-nucleotide ribosomal RNA is filed under the name uncultured bacterium. Its description in RNAcentral is "partial 16S ribosomal RNA". It matches the Rfam family "Bacterial small subunit ribosomal RNA", at positions 338 to 795 of the family's 1533-position model. The record is from RNAcentral.
CCUACGGGUGGCAGCAGUGAGGAAUAUUGGUCAAUGGCCGGGAGUCUGAACCAGCCAAGUCGCGUGAGGGAAGACGGCCCUACGGGUUGUAAACCUCUUUUGUCAGGGAGCAAGGUGCAGGUCGGGUCCUGCUGUGCGAGUACCUGACGAACAAGCAUCGUCUCACUCCGUGCCAGCAGCCGCGGUAAUACGGAGUAUUCGCGCGUUAUCCGUAUUUAUGGGGUUUAAAGGGUGCGUAGGCGGGCAUUUAAGCCGGCGGUAAAAUUCCGGGGCUCAACCCCGGCCUGCGGUCGGAACUGGGGGCAUGGAGUGGGCGAGAAGUAGGCGGAAUGCGGGGUGUAGCGGUGAAAGGCAUAGAUAUCACGCAGAACCCCGAUUGCGAAGGCAGCAUACCGGAGCCCGACUGACGCUGAGGCACGAAAGUGCGGGUAUCGAACAGGAUUAGAUACCCUUGUAGUC